GGGUUGUGAGGUUAAGCGACUAAGCGUACACGGUGGAUGCCCUGGCAGUCAGAGGCGAUGAAGGACGUGCUAAUCUGCGAUAAGCGUCGGUGAGGUGAUAUGAACCGUUAUAACCGGCGAUUUCCGAAUGGGGAAACCCAGUGUGUUUCGACACACUAUCAUUAACUGAAUCCAUAGGUUAAUGAGGCGAACCGGGGGAACUGAAACAUCUAAGUACCCCGAGGAAAAGAAAUCAACCGAGAUUCCCCCAGUAGCGGCGAGCGAACGGGGAGGAGCCCAGAGCCUGAAUCAGUGUGUGUGUUAGUGGAAGCGUCUGGAAAGGCGCGCGAUACAGGGUGACAGCCCCGUACACAAAAAUGCACAUACUGUGAGCUCGAUGAGUAGGGCGGGACACGUGGUAUCCUGUCUGAAUAUGGGGGGACCAUCCUCCAAGGCUAAAUACUCCUGACUGACCGAUAGUGAACCAGUACCGUGAGGGAAAGGCGAAAAGAACCCCGGCGAGGGGAGUGAAAAAGAACCUGAAACCGUGUACGUACAAGCAGUGGGAGCCUCUUAAUGGGGUGACUGCGUACCUUUUGUAUAAUGGGUCAGCGACUUAUAUUCUGUAGCAAGGUUAACCGAAUAGGGGAGCCGAAGGGAAACCGAGUCUUAACUGGGCGUUAAGUUGCAGGGUAUAGACCCGAAACCCGGUGAUCUAGCUAUGGGCAGGUUGAAGGUUGGGUAACACUAACUGGAGGACCGAACCGACUAAUGUUGAAAAAUUAGCGGAUGACUUGUGGCUGGGGGUGAAAGGCCAAUCAAACCGGGAGAUAGCUGGUUCUCCCCGAAAGCUAUUUAGGUAGCGCCUCGUGAAUUCAUCUCCGGGGGUAGAGCACUGUUUCGGCAAGGGGGUCAUCCCGACUUACCAACCCGAUGCAAACUGCGAAUACCGGAGAAUGUUAUCACGGGAGACACACGGCGGGUGCUAACGUCCGUCGUGAAGAGGGAAACAACCCAGACCGCCAGCUAAGGUCCCAAAGUCAUGGUUAAGUGGGAAACGAUGUGGGAAGGCCCAGACAGCCAGGAUGUUGGCUUAGAAGCAGCCAUCAUUUAAAGAAAGCGUAAUAGCUCACUGGUCGAGUCGGCCUGCGCGGAAGAUGUAACGGGGCUAAACCAUGCACCGAAGCUGCGGCAGCGACGCUUAUGCGUUGUUGGGUAGGGGAGCGUUCUGUAAGCCUGUGAAGGUGGCCUGUGAGGGUUGCUGGAGGUAUCAGAAGUGCGAAUGCUGACAUAAGUAACGAUAAAGCGGGUGAAAAGCCCGCUCGCCGGAAGACCAAGGGUUCCUGUCCAACGUUAAUCGGGGCAGGGUGAGUCGACCCCUAAGGCGAGGCCGAAAGGCGUAGUCGAUGGGAAACAGGUUAAUAUUCCUGUACUUGGUGUUACUGCGAAGGGGGGACGGAGAAGGCUAUGUUGGCCGGGCGACGGUUGUCCCGGUUUAAGCGUGUAGGCUGGUUUUCCAGGCAAAUCCGGAAAAUCAAGGCUGAGGCGUGAUGACGAGGCACUACGGUGCUGAAGCGACAAAUGCCCUGCUUCCAGGAAAAGCCUCUAAGCAUCAGGUAACAUUAAAUCGUACCCCAAACCGACACAGGUGGUCAGGUAGAGAAUACCAAGGCGCUUGAGAGAACUCGGGUGAAGGAACUAGGCAAAAUGGUGCCGUAACUUCGGGAGAAGGCACGCUGAUAUGUAGGUGAAGCGACUUGCUCGUGGAGCUGAAAUCAGUCGAAGAUACCAGCUGGCUGCAACUGUUUAUUAAAAACACAGCACUGUGCAAACACGAAAGUGGACGUAUACGGUGUGACGCCUGCCCGGUGCCGGAAGGUUAAUUGAUGGGGUUAGCGGUAACGCGAAGCUCUUGAUCGAAGCCCCGGUAAACGGCGGCCGUAACUAUAACGGUCCUAAGGUAGCGAAAUUCCUUGUCGGGUAAGUUCCGACCUGCACGAAUGGCGUAAUGAUGGCCAGGCUGUCUCCACCCGAGACUCAGUGAAAUUGAACUCGCUGUGAAGAUGCAGUGUACCCGCGGCAAGACGGAAAGACCCCGUGAACCUUUACUAUAGCUUGACACUGAACAUUGAGCCUUGAUGUGUAGGAUAGGUGGGAGGCUUUGAAGUGUGGACGCCAGUCUGCAUGGAGCCGACCUUGAAAUACCACCCUUUAAUGUUUGAUGUUCUAACGUGGGCCCCUUACCGGGGUUGCGGACAGUGUCUGGUGGGUAGUUUGACUGGGGCGGUCUCCUCCUAAAGAGUAACGGAGGAGCACGAAGGUUGGCUAAUCCUGGUCGGACAUCAGGAGGUUAGUGCAAUGGCAUAAGCCAGCUUGACUGCGAGCGUGACGGCGCGAGCAGGUGCGAAAGCAGGUCAUAGUGAUCCGGUGGUUCUGAAUGGAAGGGCCAUCGCUCAACGGAUAAAAGGUACUCCGGGGAUAACAGGCUGAUACCGCCCAAGAGUUCAUAUCGACGGCGGUGUUUGGCACCUCGAUGUCGGCUCAUCACAUCCUGGGGCUGAAGUAGGUCCCAAGGGUAUGGCUGUUCGCCAUUUAAAGUGGUACGCGAGCUGGGUUUAGAACGUCGUGAGACAGUUCGGUCCCUAUCUGCCGUGGGCGCUGGAGAACUGAGGGGGGCUGCUCCUAGUACGAGAGGACCGGAGUGGACGCAUCACUGGUGUUCGGGUUGUCAUGCCAAUGGCACUGCCCGGUAGCUAAAUGCGGAAGAGAUAAGUGCUGAAAGCAUCUAAGCACGAAACUUGCCCCGAGAUGAGUUCUCCCUGACUCCUUGAGAGUCCUGAAGGAACGUUGAAGACGACGACGUUGAUAGGCCGGGUGUGUAAGCGCAGCGAUGCGUUGAGCUAACCGGUACUAAUGAACCGUGAGGCUUAACCUUACAACGCCGAAG
Molecule: ribosomal RNA, 2926 nt
Filed under: Escherichia coli
Lineage: Bacteria; Pseudomonadati; Pseudomonadota; Gammaproteobacteria; Enterobacterales; Enterobacteriaceae
Description: 23S ribosomal RNA
Rfam family: Bacterial large subunit ribosomal RNA
Source: RNAcentral